GCGGUCGCGGUGGAGCCGGCGCCCGCAGCAGCUGCGCAUCUCGCGUCUCCCGCGGGGCGCUUGGGAGACGGCGGGCCGGGUGCGUGGUCCCGAGGAAGGCGGCCGCGGGAGGUGGCGCCGAGGUGUUGGGAGGAGGAGGCGGGAAGGCCGGAGUCGUAAUUCGGAAGAGGGCAGGUGCUGCCGGCGACGCCACUGAGCUCUGUCUCUGAGGAACAGCAAAUGUCAGAGCAGAGGGAGGCUGGCCCAGCCGUUCCUGGAGCCGCUGCAGCACUCCUUCCCCAUUCUGGUGCAAGGACAGAGAGGAGGGGGCUGCGGCCCCACAUCCUCUCCCACCCACAGCCCCUGUGGGAAGGGCAGCCGGGCUGCCUCAGGCAGCUGGACAGAGGCUGCGUGGGGCCAGGGUGGUGAUGCUGCCAUGGCCCCUCCCCGCUGCCCAGUGUGGGAAGAAGAAUUCAGAGCCAGGCAAGUCUCUGUGUGUGUCUCUGGCAUGGAAGGAGCAGGUAGAGACAGCGCCAGGGCAGCUAGGGCCUGGUGUUGGUUGCUUUGGUAUUGGCUGCGAGAGGGCUGGACCUCCAGCCCUUUGGGUUUGGUUCCACCCCUGGCCUGUCCCUGGCACUUGACAACUGUGUCUGUGUGCUUAUUGGUGCCACCAUGUUAUAUAACGCUUAUAUAAUCUCCCAGGGCGAGUGCUGUGUCUCUGCUCUCAGGUCACGCAGGCACUGUGUCCGUGUGGGAGGCAGGAUCUGUGGAAGCUUGUGGGUAGACUGACUCCCCCCACUGCCAGCCAGUGCCAGCCUGGCUCCUUCUCCUGAUCUUGGGCAUAGACGGGGGCUGGAAGAAGAGGGACCCAUGCCACUGUGUGGGGCUAAGAGAGAGGGUUUGGUUUGGCUGGGAGUCUUCUGUUCUUGUCCUUCUAAUUUCCCUCACUCAGUGGACUGGUAGAGGGGAUGCCUUUCUUGGGCUUUGAGCUUAGUGCGGCCUGGCAUGGCAGGUGAGUGUGGUGAGAUGACCUCCAGGAUGUUGCAGUGGAAGAAUGCAUGGUACUUGGGGAUGGAUAAAGAGAGGGAGAAAUGAGCUCUGCCUUUGAGGUGUUGAGGAAGCGUAGCUAGGAGGGUGGCAGUGACGUUUUAAGAAAUUCAGAGCGGGGCUAAGGAAUGGUCAGGAAAGGGCGUACGGAGAAGUGGAUCAGACAGCAAAGAUAAACAUGGUGUUAUUUUACUGUACUCUCCACUGGGCUGUCCCUGGUUACCAGGGAAACAGAAGCAGUGAUGAAAAUCAUGCCUUUCGUUCAGUGGAAAAAUCUGGCUCCUCCUCCCGCCUCUUCCUUCUUUAAUUGCCUGCGACCUGUGGGGACAGUGAUGCCCCCAGGGAUCAGAGAUCCCCUUCUUGCCCCCCCCGUCCCAAAUAUUUUAUUAUCUUUACCUUCCGGCAUCCCUUACCUGCCCACAGAGCUUGGCAAAAGACAGUUGCGUAGGAGUUGGAGUAGAUGGGGGGAAGGGCAUGGACGUCAUCCCAGGGCAGGGUGAGCGGAGCGUGGGCAGAGAUGUGGAUGCAGAAUGACUGGCACACGAGGGGGUCAGGCAUGGAUCAGCUAGAUAGAGCUGAGAGCUUGUUUCUGGGGUGCUAGGAGCAGGGGGUGGGAAGAGUAAGAUAACGGAGGGCCUGUGGAGCCUGGCAGUCUGGGCUCCAGGUAGUAGGGAACAGGAAGGCCUUGCAGUUUCUUAUGUAGUCCUGUUUCCAUGAGGAAAGCUUGGACUCAUGCAUUCCGCCUUUAUCGUAUGCCUGCUAUGUUAGGUGAGGUUUUGGGAACUGGGGAGAUGGCGAUAAGUAGCACUGGGCCUCGACCUUGAAAAGCUUACCGUGGAUGGAGAAGGAUGAGUGUGUGGAGGAAGAUGAGUCUGGCAUUGCUAGCAGCCUGGAAUCUGAGGCCCCAUGCAGGCGACUGGCACUGUUCCAGAUUCAAGGUAAUGGACCAGGGUGGAGCCUGUGGGAAUGGAGAGGAAGAGGUAGCUGAGAGAGCCACUUUGGCCUGGGGACAGGGCAUGGAGAAGAGAAGGUGCCGAGAUCUUGAGCCUUAAUGAUUGACGGAAAUAGAAAUCAGGGUUCAGACUUGUUUCGGGGAGUCACGAUUUAUUUUUAGACAUGCUGCCUUCAAAGCGAUGGCGUGGCAUCCAAAUAGAAAUGUUUACGAGCAGGCAAAUAAAGUGAGCUGUGGAAGUCAGCCGUGGGAAGAGAUUUGGGGGAAAUGAUAUUAUGAUGCCAUCAGAGUGCGAGGUUAUUGAGAAGGCUUGUAGAGAGAGAGAGGCCCCCAAGGCUUUGGCGUGUGUGCCUAGAAUUGGAUUAGGCUGUAUCCCUCGUAUGUUUGUCAUCCCAGGGCCUAUCCAGACUUCUGGACCUGUUUGUGCCAGUAUCCACUCAAAUCUUCUAUUAGUUCACAUCUGUUUUUGAAGUUUGGUUUCUGUUCAGGUUUUCUUCUCCCUAGUAAUAAAGUACAGGUACUGCUGGAAAGACAGAUACAUAACAUACUUACCUCCCCAAACUCUGUCCUUGACCUUUGGCGUACCAUUCACUCAGCCCUAGGAUGUGCUGUGGAGAUGGGCACAGAUCCCUGGCCUCCACCAGCAGUGCUGCUCUGCUUCCUGUUCACUCAUCGCUCUGUUGGAGUAAGAGCCCUGGACAGAGAGACAGGAGGCCUUUGCCAGCUACAUGAUCUUCGGCAAGUCACUUUCUCUUCCAGGCCUUAGUGGCUAGUAUAAGGGAUCUAGUUUCUUCUGGCUCUAAAAUGUCUGGAUUUGAUGUCUAGAGGCUUUUCCACCCUAGCCCAAGUGCACGGCUUUUGAACAAGCAGCCCAGAUUUCUUUGGUGCCUUGUGGGAGGCAGAGGGAGUAGCAGGGUGGAGGCCUCCAGGUUGUCAGCCUCCUCAGCACCGUAUGGUAUGCUGGCCCUGUUCCCCUUGGGAGCAUGGAAAUGCUGGAAGAGUAGGUUUCCCUGUCGACCAGGGAUAAACAAACUGUGGCCCGUGGGUCAGAUACCUUUUUCUGUAAAUAAAGUUUUAUUGGAAUACAGGCAUGCCCAUUUCUUUGUGUGUUGGCUGUGGCUGCUUCCAUGCUGCAGUGCUGGAGUUGAAUAGUUGCAGCAGAGCUCGUAUGACCCGCAAGUCUAAAAUAUUUAUUAUUUUACUCUUUAAAAAAAAGUUUGCCAACUCCUGCCAUACCUGUUGUAGUCGAUUUUGACUCAUAGUGACUCUAUAGGACAGAGAGUCAAACUGCUCCGUACAGUUUCCAAGAAGUGGCUGGUGGAUUUGAACAGCUGACGUUUUGGUUAGCAGCCAGGUUCUUAACCACUAUGCCACCAGGGCACCACUUCUACCAUAAAAGCAAAAACCCAUUGCUGUCGAGUCGAUACCAACUCAGAGCAAUGCUAUAGGACAGAGUAGAACUGCCCCACAGAGUUUCCAGGGAGCGCCUGGUGGAUUCAAACUGCUGACCUUUUGGUUGGCAGACGUAGCCGUCUAUGCCACCAGGGUUUCCACUUCUGCCAUAAAACCUGCCAUAGACCACCAUAAAAAUGGCUCUCCAUUGGGGAUGCUUACUAUGGCUGUUUCAGAUUUCUCCGGUUCUUGAAGAUUCUGUAGUGUGCUCUCCUUGGCAGUCCUGUGAGAGGGUGAUCUGGCAGUUGAGAUGGUAGAUUAUUGAAGUUAGCUCAAAGAUACGGGGUCCCUGUAUCAAAGACAAGGAUCCCUUUGUAUUUUUAGUCCCUUCCUGGAGCCUGGAGGGUACUUCCCCCCACCCACCCCUUUGAGCCAGGAGGCCUGAGUUCCUUAGCAGGGCUGGAUUGUGACUGGGUUUGACGAGCUGCCCUCCCUGUCAUUCUCAUUUCCCAGGCUGGGCAGAGGAGAUUGGACCGAGCCAUAUCCCAUCUCUGGUAAGGAGAAGGGAAGACUUGUCAGCUCUGCUAAGGCCUGCAGUGUAUUUCCCCGAUAGCUAUGCUCUCUUGCUUCCGGUCUCACUGUCCGUUUUGGAGCCACUGCCCUAGGGAUGGUCUGCAGAGAGAGCUGCAGCACAGCCUGGUUUGUGUGUUCCAGCCGGGCACUCGCUACCCUGCCGCACAAGCCCCUGGGGCCGGUGUGUGCUGGUCCUUGGCAUCAGAAUUGGUACUCAGUGUUUUGAAGUUAAGGAGUCACUGGGUAGUACAAAUGGUGAACACACUCGUCUGCUAACUGGAAGGUUGGCCGUUCAAAUUCACCCAGAGGCACCUUGGAAGAAGGGCUGCUGAUCUGUUUCUGAAAGGUCAGCCAUUGAAAACCCUAUGGAGCACAGUUCUAUUCUGACACACAUGGGGUCGCCAUGGGUUGAAAUCUACGUGACGGCAACUGGCUCUAUUAUUUUUAUUUCUUAAAUUCUCUCAGCUGGCCUUUACUGAAUUUUCUCAUGUCCCGAUUUCCACCUUUUUGACCUGGUCCUCUGUUCUUCACUGUGCUGGUGAAAUUCCUGGCCAGGAUCAGAGCUAAUUUAGAGCUUCAGCUGCUACAAAACAGCCACACAGCAGUUGGGUCGGUUCUUCUCAGGGCUAGCAUAGGAAGUGAGACAUGUCUGUGGCGGGAGGAAACCACGUGCUUGCAGCUGGAAGGGAGGAGGCUGGCAGUGGGAGGAGGGAGCAGACAACCCAGAAUAGCAAAGAAGACAGAACCUAAGCACACCCAGAGCUGCUCUGAGCUGGUAAUGGUAAGCCUGGCUGCAGGAGCAUUACUUCACACCUCCCCUUACAAGAAUUUCCCUGGAGGCUGGGUCCCUGACUCUCUUCUCUCCUUAUCAAAAACCCUGUCUAGAUUGCUUUUCCUGUGUAGCGUUGAGGAUGACCCCAUACUUCAUGGGCUUAAAUUAAUGCUGGGUCAAGUGCACUGACUUGGAGGCAUUCCUUUCAUUGACCAGGUGUUUAUUAAGGUCCGUGAUGCAUAGGGCACUGUUUGAGGUUCUGGAGAGACGAGGUAACCAGAAGCGAUUCGGAGGCUCCUCUGGAAGGUCUGUGGGCUGCUGAGUCAGUUCUAAUAACGAUCUACACUAGAUCACAGGCUUCAGGAGAGCAUGUCUGUUUCUCUUGCUGAAACCCCAACGUGGGGUACAGCGCUUGGCACACAGUAGGCAUGCGGGUAUGGGGUAGGCUGCCCCAUCCUUAUUUGGUCAGUUCUGGAAGUGUGCAGGAGGGGUCUGAGCUCACGCUGGCAAUUGUGAGAAUGUGGGGGAGGGUAGACGGACCUGAACAUGCUGGUGAUGUGACCGCUGUUCAGGAGGAAAGGAUAGGAACAGGUGAAGCCAGGUGGAGAUGAGAAGCCACUGGCAGUUGGACCAUGAGAAAGGAGGGGCAUGACAAGAUGCCUAGGCAGCCGACGCUGGGUAAAGCAGAGGCUGGGAUAGGACGUGGGGGAAGGGAGACAGUGGAGGGAGAGUAAAAACCAGGUGAGAGGAAACAGGGAGGUGUUUCCAGGCCCAGGAGGGAAGCAGAGAUGAAGCAGGCGAGUGAGGUCAAAAUGGUGGCAGUAAUGACAGGAUGGGACCUUGAGCUCUGUUCUGUAGGUCUCCUCUGAAGUGACUGUGUCCAGGUAUGACCAGAAAUACCACUGGGCUAAUUUCUUGUGGUGGGGCAGAUGCAAGGACAUUAACUGCGGCUUGAGAUUAUGGUUACUCUUCUUUUUUUAAUUUUAUUAUGGAAAUUUUUCAAUGUAUAUGGAGGUAGAGAGAGUUAGUAUAAUAAACCAACAUGUUUCUGUCACCAAGUUUCAAUGCAUAACAACACACGGCCCCUCUGACUUCAUCUGUACCCUGUCUUAGUCAUCUAGUGCUGCUGCAACAGAAAUACCGUAAGUGGGUGGCUUUAACAAAGAGAAGUUUAUUCUCUCAUAGUUUAGGAGGCUAGAAGUCCAAAUUCAGGGCACCAGCUCCAGAAGGCUUUCUUUCUCUGUUGGUCUGGGAGAAGGUCCUUGUCAGUCUUCCCUUUAUCUAGGAGCUUUUCAGUGCAGGGACCCUGGGUCCAAAGGACAUGCUUUGCUCCCAGUGCUGCUUUCUUGGUGGUAUGAGGUCCCGCUGUCCCUCUGCUUUUUUCUCUCUUUUAUAUCUCAAAAAAGAUUGUUUUAAGACACAACCUGAACUUGUAGGUUGAGUCCUGCCUUAUUAACAUACCUGUAGCUAAUCCCACCUCAUUAAAUCCUAUAGAUAGGAUUUACAACACAUAGGAAAAUCACAUGAGAUGACAGAAUGGUGGACAAUCACACAAUACUGGGAAUCAUGGGCUAGCCAAGUUGACACGUUUUUGGGGGACACAAUUCAAUCCAUAACAACCCUCACCUGCUUUUUUUCUGCCCCCUUCUUGAAUGAAGUAUUUUAAAGGAAAUCCCAGAUACUGUGUCCUUUCGUCUAUAAGUAUUAUCUUAAAUAGUAACUUGCAAAAACAUAACCCCGUAGCUCCAGUAGCGUUAUCAAACUCCCAGGGUGGUGUAACCAGUUAAGCACUUGGCUGCUAACCAAAAGGGUGGAGGUUUGAGUCUACCCAGAGGUCCUUGGAAGAAGGGCCUGGCAGUUUGCUUCCAAAAAAUCAGCCGUUGAAAGCCCUAUGGAGCACAGUUCUCUCUGACACAUGUGGGAUUGCCAUGAGUUGGAAUUGACUUGAGGGCAACUGGAAUUGGAAUAGUAUUAUCACAUCUUGAAAAACAAUCAAAAUAUCAGCCAUCCAGUUAGUGUUUAAAUAUCCCUGAUUGUCUCAAAAAAAAAAAAAAAAUGACCAUAAUUUUUAUUAAAAGAGGCUUUGAGGUUUAUCAUCAACUAAAUGAAAUGUGUGAAUCUUGUCUGGAGGCUGAUUCAAAACAACCACCAUUAGUGGUUCCUAUCCCUUCCUCCUGAACAGCAGUCACAUCAUCAGCAUUUAGUUGAUGAUAAAUCUCAAAGCCUGUUUUAAUAAAGAUUAUGGUCAUUUUUAAACGAAUUUAUGUUUUGUAGUUCUGCCUUUUAGGUUCACUUAGCUGCCUGUCACCCCCAGUCAGCUGCCAGCAACAGUUUUCUUGAGUUUGUUGAACCAGAUUGUGAUUUUGAGCAUUCUUAAUCACCCCUUUUGUCUUCACAGGGGAUGUAACUAGUCAGUUAUUUCUUCUUCUGAUAACUAUACCUUGAGAACUUGCUGUGUCUCAGGCACUGUACCGGGCACUGGGAAUACACCUCUAAAAAGGCAGUAGGGCCCUGUCCUCAUGGAGCUUAUGGUCUAACCACCUGAGAGCUGUUUGUGGGUCUCCUCACUGCAUUUUUUCCCCAGAUGUUCAUCGCAACUGACCUGUAUGUGGCUGUCACUUCUGUGUUGGUAGAUCUGUGGUAUUCUGGUGAUGUGGUUGUUAGGUACCAUAGAAUCAGUUCCGACUCAUAGCAACCCUAUUUACAACAGAAUGAAAUGCUGCCCGAUCCUGUGACGUCCUCACAAUCCUUAUGUUUGAGCUCAUUGUAACAGCCAUUGUAUUAGUCCAUAUGAUUCAGAGUCUGCCUCUUUUUCACUGACCCUAUACGAUGAUGUCCUUCCCCAGGGACUGGUCCUUUAUCAUAAUAUGUCCAAAGUACAUGAGAUGAGGUCUUGCUAUCCUUGGGCUUGGUGUUUGAGUUCUUACGCUGUUGUGUCAUGUGGCUGAUGAGAGGUGCCCCUAGAACUGUUCAAGAAGCCAGGUGUGAUUUCUGUGGUAGGUCCCUGUUUCGUAACCAUGAGAUCUGCAUAGUCUUUCGAUGGCGCCGUGAUUGACUUGUGUGUAUUCGUUUAACACUCUUGGGCUUGAGUCUUUGUAGCUGUGAAAGUUAAAAUGGAGACCUUGCUUAACAGACGAACUGGAGAGAGGCCAAAGGAAAAUAUCUGAGAGGUGCUCUGAACUGUUAAAAAGGGCUGGACAGAUGCUAGGCUUUUAUUUUUCCUGGAUCCUUUAUUGUAUACCCAAAACCCAUUGCUGUCAAGUCGAUUCUGACUCAUAGUGACCUUUAUUGUAUAAGGUGACGUAAAUAUACCAUGGUUUUUGUUCCCCAUCACUGAAGGCUACUUAGUUUGGAAUUUGAUGAUAUAUUUUAUUUUCUUCCAGUUUAGUGGCCUUCAAUUAUGUUGAUCAUGUACCCCUGUUGGUUAAAACUUUUGAGCAACUCCCAUGUAAGAGAGAGAGGGAGAGAGUGAGAGAGAAUUUAUAAUUUAUAUAUAGUCCUUGGAAACUCUAUGGGGCAGUUCUACUCUGUCCUAUAGGGUCACUAUGAGUCGGAAUCGACAGCACUGGGUUGGGUUAUAUAGUAUUGCAGUACUAAGGAAUUAUACGUAUUAUAAAAUACAAAAUUAAAAAAAAAAUACAUGGAAUAUGUUGUAUUCUACUACCCCUGGGCAGCACAAACUAUUUGCACUUGGCUACCAGCCUAAAGGUUGGUGCUUUGAACCCACCCAGUGGCACUGCAGAAGAAAGGCCUGGCUUGGCAAUCUGCUUUUAUAAAGAUUACAGCCAAGGAAACCCUACGGAGCUCAGUUCUACUCUGUAACAUGUGUGGUUGCCAUGAGUCAGAAUCGACUCUGCGGCAAGGUUUUUUUUUUUUCACUUAGCCUCCUGCAUGGACUGUUGAUGGCCCUGUCUGGUGGCAGCCCUACUUUGCGCUAGAUUUCAACUCCUCUCACAUAUGCAGGGACAUCAGUCCAGCAGUUCCCCUCCCUUUUUCUUGCAUCACCAGUUUUUUCCUCUCUAUUGGGUUAUUUCUGUCAGCACACUAUUUUUCUCGUCUUAAAAAACCUCCUUUGAUCCCACCUCUUCCAGCUACUGCCCCACUUGUCUGCCCCUCAGUUGGGUUUCCUGUCCUUGCUAUCUUCGGUUUCUCUCUUGAAUUGGUCUAGUUGGACUUUGCCUCCACCACGCGAGGUGAGACUGACAAGGUCAAUGUGACCUCCACACUAGUAAUCUAGUGGUCACUUCAUAGUCUUCAUCUUCUUAGCUCUGCAGCAGCAUUUGGCACAGCUGGUCACACCCUUUCCUUGAAGCUCUUUCCUCUCUUGGCUUGCAGGACGUACGCUUCUGCUUGUCUUUCUCGUUGGCUGUUCUUCCCAGGCCUCAUCUCUGACCUCUAAACACGAGAAGGCCCUGGGUUGUCUCUUCUCUGUCUUUUCUGGUUUAAGGCUGUGAGACAGGCAUUUGUGAUCUUCUGCUGUCUCAUGGCUUUAAACACCAUCUUUAUGAAUGUUGUUGGGAUUUGCUUCAAAGUAAUCCUGAGGGGUCAGGUGGCGGGUGAAAUCAACAAGAUUGGCCAUGGGUUAAUAAUUGUUGAAGCUGGGUGACAGGUACCUGGGGGUUCAUUACACUGUUUUCUGUAGUUUUAUGUAUGUUUGAAAUUUUCCAUGAUGAAAGUUAGAAAGAAAAAAACUGUUAAUGAUCCCCAAUUAUUUGUCCCUAGCCCAGCCUCUUUCCCAGUCUGCAGGUCUGUGUGUCCUUCUACUUAGCAUUUCAAGUCGGCUAUUACUAGACAUUGCAUACCUCAUAUGCCCCGGACUGAGCUCCUGACUUGGCCACCCAAACAUGUUCUUCCUGCACUCCUCGCCACCUCAGUUACAGAAAUGCCACCCCUCCAGUUGUUCACCCAAAAGAACUGUGGUCGUACUUCUCUCUCUGUUUCUCUCUCAUAUCCUGCAUCCAGCCCAUCAGCAAAUCUUGCUGACUCUCCUGCAAAGUAUUUCCAGGAGUUGGCCAAUCAGAACUCCGUCCGUUGCUCCCACCCUGGUCCAAGCCACUGUUAUCUCUCGCCUGCUUCUCCUUUGCCCCUUAACGGCCUGUGCUCCUGACAGCAGCGAGAGGGAUCCUGUGAAACGUAAGUCACACCGUGCCCUCCUGGCACAGAAUCCUGCUGUGCCUUCUCUUCUCACUCAGUAUGGCCAGUCCUUUGAAUACACCGGUCCUGCACCCACAGAUUCAACCAACCGUGGAUCGAAAAUAUUUGCGGAAAAAAGAAAGUACAGACUUAUUUUUCUCGUCACUGUUCCCUAAACCAUACAGUAUAGCAGCUAUUUACGCAGCAUUUAUGUUGUAUUAGGUAUUCGAAGUCAUUUAGAGGUGAUUUAAAGUAUGCAGGAGGAUGUGCCUAGAUUAUAUGCAAAUACUUCACCAUUUUGUAGAAGGGACUUGAGCAUCCAUGGAUUUUGGUAUCUGCGGAGUCCUGGAACCAAUCUCCCAUGCAUAUGGAAGGAUGACUGUAUAAGCCAUAGUCCUUAUGGUGGUCUACAAGAUCCUGUAGUUCCUAUCACUGCUGUCCAGUAGAAAUAUAUUGUGAGUUACACAUGAGGGCUACAUAUGUCAUUUAAAAUUUUCCGGGUAGCCACAUUAAAAAAGGAAAAUGAAGCAGGUAAAAUUCAUUUUAAUAUUUUAUUAAACUCAGCCUACUGAAAAUACUGUCAUUUCUGAGGCAUGUUGCAUUGUCUCUGGUACUAAGUCACACUCGCAUAGCUCGGUUGCCGCGGCAGCAUUUUGUGUGCUCAGUAGCUGCAUGUGGCGAGUGGCUGCCGCGUUGGCAGUGUAGGUCUACAUGAGAGGGCCCCGCUCAACUUCUCUUUCUUUACCUUUUGCUACUCUUCCCUUCUUUCACUUUGCCCCAGCCACAUUGGCCUCCUUGAUGUUCUUCAGAUAAACUAGGUAUUUCCUGUUUCAGGACCUUUGCACCUUCUGUUCCCUCACCUUUGCACCUUCUGUUCCCUCCAUUUGGAAUGUUUUUCCUCAGAUAGCCUCAGGCUGACUCUCACUUCCUUUGGGUCUGUGCUCAGACGCUAAACCUUCGCGUUGGGGCUCCCCUUCACCUGACAUUCUCCAGCAUUCAUUCCUUGGGUCCCUUCUCUGCUCUGUGUUUUCUCCAUGGCACUGUCAUCAUUUAGCAUACUCUGUAUUUCUGUUGCUUAGUCUGUAUUUCUCUUUCUCCCCAUUGGAAUGUGAGCACUGUGAGAGCAGGAAAUUUUUUUUUUUAUUUUUUAAUAUCUUAUUGUGCUUUUGGUGAAAGUUUACAUGGCAAAUUGGGUUCCCAUUUAACAAUUUUUAUACGAAUUGUCAUUAUUUCCUAAUCCAUACAGUAUAAUAGCUAUUUUCAUAUUCACAGUGUGACAUCAUUUUCAUUAUUUCCGUUCUGUUUGUUCCACUUCCAGUACUGUAGUUUCUCUGCCCACCUAACCUUCUCAUCUUUAUUUUAGAGUCAUUAUUGACCAUGUGGUCUCAUAUAAAUAAUUUUUUACAGAAGUACAGUACUCAUUGACGAUAUUCUUUAUUUUAGGAGCCAAUCUGUUGUUUAGCUAAAAGGUUAUCUUGGGAUAGUUUCAGUUCAAGGUUUAAAGAGUAUCUUAGGGUGAUAGUCUCAGGGAGUCCUUUAGUCUCAACUAGUCCAGUAAGUCUAGGCUCUUUAAGAAUUCGAAGUUCUGUGCCAUAUUUUUCUCCCAUUCUGUCAGGAUCCAUAUAUCGUGGCCCAGGUCAGAACAGUCGGUAGUGGUAGCCAGGCACCAUCUAGUUCUUCUGAUCUCAGGGUAGGUGAGGCCAUGGUUUGUGCAGACUGUUUGUCCCGUAGACUGUUUUCUUCUCUGAGUCUCCGGUGUCCUUCUUUCUCCGCUCUGAACAAAUAGAGACCAGUAGUUGUAUCUUAGAUGGCCAGUCAGUCACAAGGAGAGCAGGGAUCUUUGUCAGUUUUGUUGCCUGCUGUAUUUCCAGAGCACGGAAUAGUGCCUGGCACGUACAGAUACAUGUUUGUUGAAGAAUUAAGUGGAAUGAAUUAUUAAGAAUACUUUCUGAGUAAAAGAACGGUGCAAUUGAAUAUGCUUUAUUGUUUCAGAAUAUACUGGUGUUGUAUUUUGCGAUACGGGAGUUUUAAGGUCUGGUUGGAGUCGGGGUGUUCUGGAGAGACCGCCCGUGAGUAGAUUCUCCUGGCAGAAGUGCAUCCUUCGUUGUGCUUACUCAGUCGCGAUGCUUGUGUUUCAGUCACAGCCGCCAGUUUCUGCAAAGGUUGUUCAGAUCCAGCUAGUACAUUUCUGUCUUUCCCGGUACCAGGCGGUUGUUACUGCAAACUCACUGGAAGGUUUUGUUUGUUUUUAUAGCUUUCAUAAAUGGGUUCAAGACCCUAAAACACAUCAUUUUGGGAGAUUUUAAGACAAGUUUGGAUAUUCUGCUUCAAGUGCGCGCACAAAUAUGAGAUUUCAGAGGUGUCGUCCUUACACGUUGAAUUUGGCAGCUUCAUCACAUACUAGUGGAAAUGAUUUCCAAAUGCCUGUUUGAAAAAUAUCUCUUUUAGAAGGUAAUGACUUUCUUACCCAAUUUUAAAAUUUCCCCUUUACCUGGAAGGGACAGAUUGUGAAUAUUUAUUUACCUGUUUGUUUACAAAUAUCCGUUAAGUAGCAUUCUACUGACAGGCAUUACAGAAAAAACCAGUUGCUGUUGAAUGAACUGUGACUCAUGGCCACCCCACGUGUGUCAGAGUAGGACUGUGUUCCAAAGGGGUUUUAAUAACUGAUUUUUCAGAAAUAGAUUGCUGGACCUUUCUUCCGAGGUGCCUCUAGGUAGACUCGAACCUCUAACCUUUUGGUUAGCAGCCGAGUGUGUAACCCAUUUGCACCACCCAGGGACUGCACUCAGUAGAGAAGAGAUCUGUAAAUCCUGGGACCCUUGUUUCCUGGUAAAAUAAAAAAAAAAAUGUAUAAUUCUUCUUUAAGUUGUGCAAUUCUUUCAAGUACUUUGCCAUGAGAUAGCUAGUGACAGUGUGGUCAGAUGAUUUUCAGGUCUCACCAUUUCAUUACAGAAGACUCAUUCAUUGUAUCGAAGAUGGUAUCUCUAAAUGUACUGCUAGACUGUAACAAAGUACACAGACAACUGGGAUGCCGCUGUCCAUCCCUCUGCAUUUUGGAUCUCUUACUCAGACACAGAGAUGCUUCUUGUACCUUAAAUGACUGUGACUACUCAACACACAGAUGGAAGGAGCACACCAGUGUCAGUUCAUAUACUAAAUAAUAAAGCAAACAGAACCAAUUGCCACUGAGUCUACUCUGACUCAUGGUGACCCCAUGCAUGUCAGAGUAGAACUGUGCUCCACAGGGUUUUCAAAGGCUGACUCUUUUUUUUGAAAGUAGAUUGCCAGGCUUUUCUUUUGAAGUGCUUCUGGGUGGCCCAUUUGUGCCACCCAGGGACUCCAUAUGAAAUAAUAGUGAAGUUUAACUUGUUAUUUUUAAAGAAAAAGUAAAUAUAAUUAGAAAUUCUGACGUUUCUCCUUCAUUCCAAUGAACCUUCUUGUGCAUGCCACACCAGAGACCAUUGCUCUAAUUGCUUCUCCUAUAUUGACCUCACUUCCUAACUAGGCUUUAAUCUACUUGAGGGCAAAGUUAGGUUUUUCUGUUGCUCAUAGUGCCUAGCAUAGUGCUGGCUUUCAUAAAUACUUGCUGACUGAACAGUGAAUGGAUCCAUUCUCUGUGACCCCAGUACUGUGUUGUCGUUGUGGAGUGCUAUUGAGUCAAUCCCAACUCGCAGAGAACCUAUAUUACAGAGAAGAACUGCCUCAUAGGGUUUCCUAGGCUGUAAUGUUUAUUGGGAGCAGAUCGUCAGGUCUUUUCUACCUUGGAGCCACUGGGUGGGUUCAAACCACUGACCUUUUGGUCAGCAGCUGAGUGCUUGACCACUGUGCCACCAGAGUGCCUUCCUAAUACUGUAAGAGUCUAUUUAUUGGACAGGAAAGUCUGGUAGCCAGAUUUCUUUGGUGGCCACUAGGUCCCAUUCUGUUAACAGUGUUGAAAGCUUUUAUGACAUUAGGGAAAAUAGCAUUGCAGUCUUGGUGUUGUUUGCCUCGUUCUGGAUCUGACAGGUACAAAGAUGGCAGCUACUCCACUGCCAUGUUGUGAUUUAGGAAGUAGGUGGUUGUGCUCAGAUGCUGCUCUGGAAAUGAGCUGGCAGGAACUGCAGAGCGGCAGAGAGAGCUGGAAGUGGAGGCCGGGGUAGCUAGGAUCGCCAGCUUCUGUCUUAAAGAGAGAAGCAAUAUGUCUCUAAGCCAUGGCGGCAUGUCUUGUCAUUCCAUUCCCCGUAUGCUGAAAAUGCUUGUGCAAAUGUGCACGCUUUGUGCUUCUCUAACACCUUGACAGUCGGGAGGUAUGUCAGCUGGGUAUGUACACUUGGAGCUGUUUUUCCAGUCGCCGUGACCAGAAGCACCAUUUAAGAGAUGAGUGCCUGGAAGGAGACCUGCAGGUUGUGCAGCGAACAGAGGCCUGUGUGCUUUUUGCUGCCGCAGAGACCAUUCCUGCUGGACUCUGUCGCUGAGCAAGGCUUGUCCCUGUUGUGUUACUCUUUGCUCCUUAGACCGCUAGCUAACAGUCAGCAUCGAUUCCUUCAUGCUCUUUUGUAUAGGCCCUCCUGUGUGAAAGGCACUCUGUCUGUUUCCCUUUUUGCGGUGGGGGUGGGAGAGGAAGGAGUAUGCCAGGGUGAACGAGACGUGGUCUCUGUCCUCAGGGAAUUGUUGGAUUAAUGAGGGAAACAGACACACACCUAAAACAGAAGACAAAGCAUGCAAAGGACGUGCAUGAAGUGUAAUGACUUGUUCUGUUAGCCAGAAGGGGUGGGGACCUGGGGGAUGUCUCGUGGAAUGUGAAGAAAAAGAAGAUCUGGUCUGGCUUGAGUGUGGCUGUGUCCUCCGAGCCUAUCACAGUGUCUGGCGUACGUAUAUCGGGCUCAGUAACAACCUGUGUGUUAAUGAGUGUAUGGUGAAGGAUGAGUAGGACCUUUUCUGAAAGUGUACAUGCAAAGGCAAGGACAGUGGAGGAAAUGCCUUGUUUGGAGAAGGUGGUCAGUGUGCUCCGAGGGGUGUAAGUGACAGAGACUGUUGUGUUGGGAAGUUAGGGCAGCCUUGGGAGGGCCUUGACCAGCUUUCCAAGGAAUUUGGAUUCAGUGGUUCUUAACCUCUUUUGUGCUAGUUCUCAUUAGGACUUGCAUGGAAACCACAGCCUGUUGCUCCAGGUGGGAAAAAAUCACGGGCAGCACACGUGCUUUUGCAUACAGCAUCAGGGGAUUCACAGCUUCCAAGGUAGAAAACCCUGCUGUAGGCUGUGAGGGAGUCCCUGGGUGGUACAGAUGGUCAACACACUCAGCUGCUAACUGAAUGGUUGGAGGUUCGAGUCCACCCAGAAGUAGAAAAAAGGCCUGGAAGAACAGCUUCAGAAGAAAGGCCUGGCAAUCUACUUUUGAAAAAUCAGCCAUUGAAAACCCGGUGGAGCACAGUUCCACCUGGACACAUGUGAGGACGCCAUGAGUCAGAGUCGACUUGACCGCAGCUGUAGAGUCAUCCGUCAAGUGCUCGUUGUUGUUGUUAGUUGUCCUCUAGUCGAUUCCGACUUAGGGCGAGCCCCACCCCCAGAAUCUCUGAGAAUUGACUCCCAGGAGCACAGGCUUUCUGGGUAGGGCGGGCGUGGAUGAGAGCAGGCCCGGUAGUGGCCCAUUCAGCUCGGGAGUCUCUGUGCUGCCGUAAAUGGAGAGACAAAAGCUUUACCUGGGAACAAAAUACAAAGAAGAAAAAACCUGUAAAAAAGUACUAAUUCACAAUAUGGAAUGCCUAUGCUAACUUUUAUUCGUAACAUGGUUUCCAGCUCAGGUACCCAGCUCAACAGUAAUUACAGUGAGGCUGUAUGUUGCAUUUCUGGGCACAGCAACUGGGGAAGGGAGCCAGUUUCAUAUCACAUGGUAUAUGGUUUGGAGAAUCCUUAGCUGUCCUGAUCCAUCAGGCAGGCCUGCCUGGAGAAGGAGGUGGCAAGAUUUUCACCGGCUGCUUGGAAAAGCAGAAAGAUUGGGCUGAGAGUGGUUUAAAUUUGGAUCAUUUUUGUUCCUGUUGCUAUAAAAAUUCUUAUGAAAAGUGUCUGUGCAUCUUCAGAAAAAAAAACCCUUUUCUUGUCCCCUAGGAGUUUAUAGUGUGUCAGCUAUACCAGUAGGCCAUUUGGAAAACAACAGUGUGGGCAGUAGGGUGUUGCCAUUUCUGCCUUUGUGUGUCACAGGUAAGUCUACUCUGGAGGGGAUGAGGUUGAGGAGUGGUGAGUGACGGCUGGGCUCAAAGCUGGGCAGCAUCAGAAGACAGUGGUGGAGGUGGGAGGGGAGAGCUCCGCAGGGACUUGGCUUGGGGACUCUUGGGGACAGCCAUUGCUUGAUGCAGCUCCCAGGGAAAUGACUUGGCCGUUGAUGCUCAGACUUUCCUCACCUCUGCUGACGUUCCCCACUCGUGUGCUUAGUGGGAGUUUGUUUUGCAGAAAGAUUAGUUUGUGAAGGAGUUUUAAAAGUGCUGUCAUGGAGAAAAGCUCCUCUCCCUUUUUAGACUGCUGGUCCAGAUGCCUUAAUGGGCGGUGAAAUCAAUUUCAUAGGUUGAGACCAGCAUUUUUUAAAAAAAGGAUUAUAAUAAAAAAUAAUGGAUUGCAUGGUACGUAGUAAGGAUGAGUAUGAUUGCAUGGAGCUUUGUUUCAGUUACAUAACUAAUUUACUGUUGCUGGGUGCUGUCAAAUCGAUCCUGACUCAUAGCAACCCCGUGUGACGGUAGAACUGCCUGACAGGGUUUUCUGUAAUCUUUAUAGAAGCAGAUCACCAGGCCUUUCUUCUGUGGAGUGGCUGGUGGGUUUAAACUGCCAACCUUUUGGUUAGCAGCCAAACGCUUAACCAGUGGGCCACCAGGGCUUUAUAGAACCUUACAGACAGAUGUGCAUAUACACAGGUGCCCAUACGUGUGUGUGCUGAGUCACCAUGUACAGCUUCUUGCUAUGUGUCAGGGUCUACAACAUUUGAGUAACCUCGUCUCAGAAGAGUUUUUUUGCUCUUAGAAUAGACAGUGGGUUCCGGCCACUUCCCCAGACCAUCUCCAUGGAGACAUAUGUGGUGAGAGGCCUCUUUUUUUAAACUUAAGAGCAGCCAGAGUCAGGCCCUUCCAGCAUGAUCCUGGGGCCAUCUGCAACUGCUUAUCCACGCCCUGCCCCUCCUCUGGUGCCUGGUGUCUCCCGCUGCAGAGGAGCUGGGGAGAGAGGCCAGGAAAACCCCAGCCAGGGUCAGAGCAGAGGUCCCUUUGGUAUGGGCCGUCUUCGCCUCCCUAGUCACCCAGGGUGUGAUUCCCUACGUGCAGCUUCUCUUUUCUCCUGUGGUUCCUGGCUUCGUUAGCUAUUUCCUUGUCGUUGCUUUUUUGUUCUUAUUUUGUUUCAGCAGCAGAUCUCCUCCAUCCCUGCAUGUCAAGGGCAGCACAGGGAGAGGAAGCCAUCCCAACUUGUGACUCUCCCAUGUUGUCUCUUUGUCAGGUUCUCACCAUCUGUGGGCAGAUUCCUGGUGAAUUGGAAUGGGCUGGCUGCCCCUCGCUGACUCCAUUAGAUCCACGGUUCCCCUGGCUUCAUCUCUGCCCCAAAGGAGGGGAGCCUUUCUUGGGUCACAGUUGCCUCACCUUCCAUCAACUGUGCAGGCUGGCCUGCCGAGCGCUGACCCACUUGUCGUACCUCAAAUAGAGGUUUAAAUUAGGACCUUUAAUCUGUAAGAGGCUUAUAGCCUGUUGGUGGCCAGCUGCCCUGGACUCCCAUGUGGGCAGAGCUGGGCUUUGCUUGGCUGUGUUGGGUUUAAGGAAUCAAGGGGGUCAGUGGCUUUGGAGCAGGAGCGACCAGAGGAGCAGACUCACUUGUAAGGCUUGGGGAUGGCAGGGAUCCUGGGGACAUGGAAUUGUUUGCUCGGCAUUCCUUUUGCUGUGGGUGCUAGUACAGAUAGCACCUCGGAAUGGGUGGAUGGGGUCUCUCUCUGGUGAUGGAAUGGACUGGUGGUAUGUCCUUGUAUGGCUGGCACGGGGAGUCCAGAAUUCCCUGGGCCUUGGGUGCUAGCUCUGCUUCCCCUGGGCACUGAGCCUAGUUCCUUUCUGCUGUGCAGUUAGCUCUGCUGGCUCAACAUGUGUUUUCAUUCCACACAUGUUUAUUAAUUAAGGGCUGUAUUCCCAACACGGUGCUAGGUGCAGUAGGGACACACAGAACCAUGAGGAUCAGGCCCUCCCUGAAGUUGCUCGUGGACUGUUUGAAGAGACAAGACUAGUGCAUAUCGAAGCAUUCACCCAUCCCAUGGACAGAUCAUAAUUUGGCUGGUUGCAGGUCAGUGUAGCAAAUGAUAAAGUUCCAAAGUCAAGGGCGUGGGGGUAAGUGUGAUUGGAGACCUGAGAAGGGAGUCAGCCCUUGAGUGGUCAGACCUGGGGCCUGAAUGGUGAAAGAAUUUAGGAAGAUAAGGAGAAGGAGGUCAUCGAAGGUAGGAGGAAUGAUGAGGACCGAGACAGGGAGGGUGGUCCUCUUCCGAAGUCAGAACCCUGGGGAGCCUCUCCUCCCCUUCCCACCUCCCCUUCCUUUUCUCAAGACAGUCCCAGUUUCAGUCCUAGAGACUCUUCCUCCGGCAGCAUGAAUCUGGUUCUUGGAUUUCCUUUUUCUCCUCCUCGUUAUCAUUACAACAGCAACAGCAAUGAUUCUUUGACUGAGUGCUUGCUAAGGACCUAUUGUAUGUACUUUACGCGGAUUGUCUCAUUCAGUCUUCACCGGAACCCCAGAUAGGUGUUAGAGAUUGUUGUGUGCCGUGUAGAGUUGAUGACACUGAGGCACACCAGCUAAUAACUUGCCCACGGUCACAUAGCGAUGGAGUCUUUGGGCCAGGAAGCCGCCUCUCGCCCCAAGUCUCAAGGCAGAACUUCAUGCAGACAGAAGCCCAUCUUCUUAAUUCAAACUUAUCUGAACAUUAGAAUCACCUGGGGAUCUUUUAAAAGCUCCAUAGUCCAGGCCACACACUCCAGGCCAAUUAAGUCAGCCUCUGGGGGUGAGACACAGGCACCGGUAGUUUUUGAAACUUCCCAGGUGAUCACAACAUCAGACAAGUUUGGGAAGUACUACCUUUUAUUUUUCUAUAAUUUAUUUUAUUUUUUGUUGUUGAAAAUAUACACAGCGGAAAGUACACCAGUUCAGCAGUUUCUACGUGUGCGGUUCACUACAUUGAUUAUAUUCUUGAAGUUGUGCAGCCAUUCUCACCUUCCUCUUCUGAGUCGUUCCUCCUCCAUUAACGUGAACUCAUGGCCCCUAAGCUUCCUGUCUGAUCUUUUCAGUUGCUGUUGUCAAUUUGAUCCCAUAUAGAUAGUUCUUCAAAAGAGCACGGUGCUCAAGGCAGACAUUUUUUUACAUUUUUUUAAAUUGUGCUUCAGGUGAAAGUUUACAGCUCAAGUUAAUUUCUCAUACAAAAAUUUGUACACGUAUUGUUUUGUGACAUUAGUUGCAAUCACCACAAUGUGACGGCACACUCCCACUUUCCACCCCGGGUUGCCCUGUGUCCGUUCAGCCAGUUUCUGUCCCUUCCUGCCUUCUCAUCCUGCCUCUGGAGAGGAGCCGCCCAUUUGGUCUUGUGUACCUGAUUGAACUAAGAAGCCACUCCUCACAAGUAUUAUUAUUCUUUUUACAGUUCUGUCUAAUCUUUGUCUGAAGAGUGGGCUUCGGGAAUGGUUUCAGUUCUGGGUUAACAGAGCAUCCAGGGGCCAUAGUUUCGGGGGUUCCUCCAGUCUCUGUCAGACCAUUAUGUCUGGUCUUUUCAUGUGAAUUUGAGUCCUGCAGCAAACUCUUCUCCUGCUCUGUCCGGGACUCUCUGUUGUGUUCCCUAUCAGGGCAGUCAUUGGUGGUAGCUGGGCACUGUCUAGUUCUUCUGGUCUCAGGCUAGUGUAGUCUCUGGUUUAUAUGGUCCUUCAGUGUCUUGGGUUAAUAUUUCCCUUCUGUCUUUGGUGUUCUUCAUUCUCCUUUGGAUAAAGUGGGAUGGGACAAAUUCAUGCAUCUUAGCCGCUCUCAAGCUUUUAAGACCCCAUAUGUGGGGCAGACGUUUUUUACUAGCUAAGCUAAACUUUAAUUUGGUUAAAGGUUUAAAGAUUAUCUCAGGGCAAUAGUUUCAGGGAUUCCUCCAGCCUCAGUAGCUCCAAAAUGUCUGUAGUCCAUGAGAUUUUGAAAUUCUGGGCUACCACUACGUUAACCUCUCUGUUUUAGUGAUCCUGAAUACCUGAUUGAAGGCAGUUUUAUCUAAGAUUAUCCAAAGCAUUGCCGAGGGGUCUUCCUCCAGGCCUGUCCUCAGGGUGUCUUUCUGUACCAUCUACCACCCUAUAUAGUGUAACUCCAGCCCCUUUUCUGAGGGAGCAGGACCCCUCCUGCCCUCAAAUCUGUGACUCCCAAAGAGUGAAGUUUGGAUGAGGUGGGCAGAGGGAGGGGUGUUCCCCCUGGGGCCUGUGCCCCUUUUCACUCUGAGUGCUGCCUUGGGGGCAAAGACUACUUUCAGAACCCUGGAGACACCUGACAAUGGUUUCCCGUCUCCUGCUUGCCUGGGCCCCUGACUUCAGUGGGAUGGGAUAGGGUCACACGAGGGCAGAUCUCUUCUUGACAAGUCCUGCUCGUCUCUGUCUGUCCCCAGGUGAACUUGAAAUGGACACGAAGAGCAGAGUCGUUUGGGUGGCUUGGAACAGCACUAAAUUUAGCAAAACUGUAGCUGCUGAGGGGCCAGCCUGUAGUGAGCCAAGCCAGCCCCAAGUGGACUAGAUUUAUGGUCAGUGACGCAGUUACCGUUGCCUCUACUGGAGCAAGUCUGUGGCUACACAGGCUCUUUCCGUUUCUAAGGCCCAGAAGCUUGUCAGCCCGUCCUGGAGGACCUGGGCAUCUAUGACCACCUCCCUGGUCCUGCCCCUUUAGACUUGGCUUAACCCCACUGCUGAUGCUGACCUGGGCUUUGGGUCUCCCAUCCCCCACUCAUGUUACUGUGGAAUUCUCACUUCAGUACUUUACCUUGGCCUACAAAUUCUUUCAUUGCUUUUGGUGGUGUUGCCAACCUUGACUCAAAAGGCCUGGAAGACAAGACCUGAGCUUUGAUAGAUUUUUCUCUUAGGGUAUUUGGCAUCCUCAGGACGCCUUUGGGUCAGAGCUGAUGAAUGGAGGAAGGGGAAGAGCUGGGAUGGCCCCUUGAACGAGGUUUUGAGGUACUUUCCAUCUUCCCAGAAAUCUGUAUGCCCAACGCCUGAGGUAAGUUGUGAUGGGGUGGCUGUGGGUGGGCUGUGAGACUCUGACGGCCAAGGAUUUCUCUUUGCUCGCUCAGUCUUCUGAUGUGGGUUGUAUCUGGGAGUUGAUAGGUUUUGUGGAAUUGAGAGUAGUGGGUCUGCUGGUAAGAACACCUUCCCCUUAUGGGCCUCUUCCCACUUCUCAGAUUUGAUACGCUGGUUUGCUCUAGGAGAGCCCCUUUUUCCUUAAUGCCCAAGGAGAUAAUGACCAGGCUGAAUUUUCUCAGCUCUUUCCAAUAUAGAUGGUAACACUGAUUAUGCAGGGCUGGGAUCUUUGUGACAUGGUUUAUUGGUAUAAGGCAGUCUCUCCCACCCAGCCCCCCAGGGUGUAUGGGGCAAUGCCUGGAGACAUUUUUGGUUGUCACAGCUGGGGAGGAGAGGGAUGCAACUGCCAUCUAUUGAGUAGAGGCCAGGAAUGCUGCUGAAUAUCCUGCAGUGCACAGGACGGCCACCUACAACAAAGCAUGCAUGCCAAAGUGUCAAAUAGUGCUAGGUUGAGAAACCCUGGUGUAAUCCACUACUGUUGCAUCAAAUCUGACUCAUGGUGACCCCUUGUGUUACAGAGUAGAGCAUAGGGUUUCCUUGGUUGUAAUCUUCACAUGUCACCUUGAAAGCUAAGGUGCGCCUGACCCAAGCCAUAGUGUUUUCAGUCGCCUCAUAUGCAUGUGAAAGCUGGACAAUGAAUAAAGAAGACCAAAGAAAAAUUGAUGCUUUUGAAUUGCGGUGUUGGCAAAGAAUAUUGACUAUACCAUGAACUGCCAAAAGAAUGAACAGAUCUGUCUUGGAAGAAGUACAACCAGAAUGCUUCUUAGAAGCAAGGAUGGCGAGACUGUGUCUCACAUACUUUGGACAUAGUAUCAGGAGGGAUCAGUCGCUGGAGAAGCACAUCACACGUGGUAAAGUAAAGGGUCAGCAGAAAAGAGGAAGACCCUCGACGAGAUGGACUGACCCAGUGGCUGCAACAACGGGCUCAAGCAUGACAAUAAUUGUGAGAUGGCACAGGACCGGGCAGUGUUUCGUUCUGUUUUACGUAGGGUCACUAUGAGUUGGAACUGACUCGAUGGCACCUAACAACAACAGAUCUUUACAGAAGCAGAUCUCCAAGCCUUCUGCAGCACCACUGGGUGGGUUCAAAUUGCCAACCUUUUUUUUUUGAUUGUGUUUCAGGUGAAAGUUUAUAGCGCAAAACAGUUUUUCAUUCAAAAACUUUAUACACAAAUUGUUUUGUGACGUUAGUUGCUGUCCCCACAAUGUGUCAGCACCCUCCCUCUUUCCAUUUCCACCCUGGGUUUUCUGCAUCCAUUUUUCCAGUUUUCCUGCCUUCUCAUCUUUGCUUUUGGGCUGGUGUUGCCCAUUUGGUCUUACAUACUUGAUUGAACUAAGAAGCACAUUCCUCACGUGUUGUUUGUCUUAAAGGCCUGUGUCUAAUCUUUGGCUGAAAGGUAGACUUCUAGAGUGGCUUCAGUUCUGAAUUAGCAGGGCGUCCAAGGCAUAGCCUCGAGGGUUCCUCUAGUCUCUGUCAGACCAGUAAGUCUCGUCUUUUUUUGUGAAUUUAAAUUUUGUUCUAUAUUUUUCUGCUGCUCUGUCCAGGACCCUCUGUUGUGAUCCCAGUCAGAGAAGGUGGCAUUGGUACCUGGGCAUCAUCCGGUUCUUCAGGGCUCAGACUGAUGGAGGCUAUGGAUCAUGUGGUCUGUAAGUCCUUUGGACUAAUGUAUUCCUCUUGUCUUUGAUUUUCUUCAUCCUCCUUUGCUCCUGAUGGAAUGGGACCAAUAGAGGUAUCUUACACAGAAUGUUUGCAAGCUUUUAAGACUCCAGAAGAUCCUCGAACAAAGUAGGAUGUAGAACAUUUUCUUUAUGAACUAUGUUAUGCCAGUUGACCUAGAUGUCCCCCGAGACCGCGGUCCUCAGUCCUCAGCCCCAGUAACUGGGUCCCUCAAGGUGUUUGGAUGUGUCUAAGAAGCUUCUAUGACUUUACCUUGUUCAGGUUGUGCUGACCUCCCUAUAUUGUGUGUUGUCUUUCCCUUCACCAAAGUUAACACUUGUCUACUAUAUAGUUAGUAAUUUCCCCUCCCCACCCUUUCCGUUGCUUGUAACCAUCAAAAAAUUGUUUUUUUCUAUGUGUAUACCUUUUCUUGGGUUUUUAUAAUAGUGGUGUCAUGGAUUGAAUUGUGUCCCCCCAAAAUAUGUGUCAACUUGGCCAGGCCAAGACUCCCAGUAUUGUGUGAUUGUCCUCCAUUUUGUGAUCUGAUGUAUUUAUCCUGUGUGUUGUAAAUCCUAAGCUCUAUGAUGUUAACGGAAGCCUUGGUGGCUCAGUGGUUAAGAGCUUAGCUGCUAACCAAAAGAUCAGCCGCUCAAAUCCACCAGCCAUUCCUUGGAAACCUUAGGAGGCAGUUCUACCCUGUCUUACAGGGUUGCUGUGAGUCGGAAUCACUCAAUGGCAGCAGGUUUGGUUUUUUGGUUUUGGUUUAUGAUGUUAAUGAGGCAGGAUUAGAGGCAGUUGUGUUAAUGAGGUAGGAUGCAAUCUAGAGAAUUAGUUUGUAUCUUGAGUCAGUCUCCUUUGAGAUGUAAAAGACAAGGGAGCAGAGAGGAGAGGGACCUCCUGCCACCAAGAAAGAAGAGCUGGGAGCAGAGUGCGUUCUUGCAUCUGGGGUCCCUGUGCUGAGGAGCUCCUAGACCAGUGGAAUAUUGAUGACAAGGACCUUCUCUUAGAGCUGACAGAGAGGGAAAGCCUUCCCUAGAGCUGGCACCCUGAAUUUGGACUUCUAGCCUCCUAGACUGUGAGAGAAUAAAUUUGUUUGGUAAAACUAUCCACAUGUGAUAUUUCUGUUACAGCAACACUGGAUAACUGAGACAAGUGGCCUCAUAUAACAUUUGUCCUUUUGUAAUUGGCUUAUUUCACUCAGCAUAGUGCCUUCCAGAUUCAUCCGAUUCAUCCGUGUCGUGAGAUGUUUUGGGGAUUCAUCAAUGUUCCUUAUUGUUGCAUAGUAUUCCAUUGUGUGUAAUUACCAUAAUUUGUUUAUCCAUUCAUCUGUUGAUGGGUACUUAGGUUGUUUCCACCUUUUUGCUAUUGUGAACAGUGCUGCAGUGAACAUGGGUGUACAUAUGUCUAUUCAUGUGACAGCUCUUAUUUCUCUAGGAUGUAUUCCUGGGAGUAGGAUUGCUGGAGAGUAUGGUAUUUCUAUUUUUAGCUUUUUAAGGAGGCCAUAUAUAUAUAGUUUGCUAUAGUGGUUGUACCAUUUUGGAUUCCCACCAGCAGGGCAUAAGAGUUCCAGUCUCCCCGCAACCUCUCCACCAUUUGUUAUUUUCUGUUUUUUUGAUUAGUGCCAGUAAUGUAGGAUUGAGAUGGUAUCUCUUUGUAGUUUUGAUUCACAUUUCUCUAAUGGCUAGUGAUUGCGAACAUUUCCUCAUGUUUCUGUUAGCUGCCUUAAUGUCUUCUUUGGUAAAGCGUCUGUUCAUAUCCUUUGCCCAUUUUUUAAUUGGAUCGUCUUUUCGUUGUGGAGGUGUUCGAGUAUUUUAUAGAUUUUAGAGAUUAGACCCUUGUCGGAUAUGUCGUAGGCAAAAAUUUUUUCCCAGUCUGUAGGUUUUCCUUUUACUCUUGGUGAUGGCCAACCUUCUGGUUAGUAGUUGAGCACAAACCAUCUGCAUGACACACGGAUCUCCUCACCCUGGUAUAGGGGAACAUUUUAUAGAAAUGGCUUUAAGUUGUCCUUUCGUUCAUUUGAAACCAGGAUCUGUCAGCUGUUGUCUUCUCCCUUUGUGCCCUGCUCCCCUUCUCCUCAGCAUUUACAGUGAACCCUGUUAGUGACAUACUCGUGUCUUAACAUGGUUAUAUUCUGGAAGUUUUUUCCAGGGAGUUGUUUAAGCCUCACAGGGUAUGUUUCCCACUAAAUACCACUCUGAGCAGAUAUGUAUUCCAAGCAGGCCUUAUAGGUGGGUUUGUGUUGCUAGUGCAGGUAAAUAAGCUAUGAACUUGACAUAUUAGGUGCUGAUAACCUUUGAAAUGAACUUCAAGGGUGACAGGGAAGCCAUUCCAGGCAAACAUCACGUGAGAAUGUUAGGAGUCUAGCCUGGAACUGUUUUUCUUUCUCUCUUGCCGCCACUGAGGUGUUUGCUCUGCCCUGCAGAACUGACUUCUGCUUGCUACGGUUCUCUAAAAGGUAGUAAACACACUCAUUGCACUGGAGGGCAUGAUGUUGCCUCCCUGAUAAAAGUUCCAAAACUGUUGCCUCAUCCCUCAGCCACCUAGUGCAUCUCCUGUCUGCCAACAGGAUUCUCCGGCAGUUGGCAAGGCUGAUUGAAGACCAGAAAAAGGAAAUGAGAAGUCUUCCAGAGUAAGGACCUUAGGUUGCACUAGAUAAUGAGGGGGUGUUCACUGUGUGUGGAUUCUAGAAUACGGUUGGUGACUGUUUUAAUUUCAGGAAAACUUUAAAGGACUCUUGAGUUGUGAUGUGAGCAGAACUUUAUGAUACGGGCAGAGAAGAGGUGAUGGGAGUGGUGGGGAAAGAAGUUGGCAGCCCAACGCCCUGGGAACUAAGGGGAGUUGCUGUCCCGGGAUGCGUUUGACAUCCUUGCCCCGGUUCACAUCCCCACGUUAUUCCCAUCUCUGGUACACUCGCUGCGUUUCUAUGUCUGCUGGGGAGGGGGACAAGUAUGUGUUGUGGUGAGCCCAUAUCAAACAGUUCGGAAAGUAGUUCUCAACUAAAACAACAACAAAAACCAAACUUGCUGCUGUCAAGUCAAUUCCGACUCUUGGCGACCCAUAGGACAGAAUAGAACUGCCCCGUAGAGUUCCCAAGGAGUAGCUGGUCGAUUCAGACUGCCGACCUCUUUGAUCAGCAGCCGAGCUCUUAACCACUGUGGCUUAGGGGAGUAAAUGACAUUUUACAAAUGACUUUAGGAUUACCCUUUUUUUUUUGAGUUUCCUGUCUGCCUGUUGUCGGAUGCCAUUGAGUUGAUUUCAACUCACAGCAACCCCAUGUUACAGAGUAGACCUACCCAUAGGAUUUUCUAGGCUGUAAUGGAAACCCUGGUGGCGUAGCGGUUAAGUGCUACAGAUGCUAACCAAAGGGUCAGCAGUUUGAAUCCGCCAGGCGCUCCUUGGAAGCUCUGUGGGGCAGUUCUACUCUGUCCUAAAGGGUCGCUAUGAGUCAGAAUCGACUCGACGGCACUGGGUUUUUUUUGGUUUAAUCUUUACAGGAACAGAUGGCCAGGUCUUUUUCCUGUGGAGCUGCUGGGUGGGUUUGAACUGCCAGCCUUUUGGUUAGUAGCUGAGUGCUGAACUGCUGUGCUACGAGGGCUCUUUCCUAUCCCCUGGGGAGAUCUCUGGGGAAGGGAUUAAACAGCAGGUCCUUGAUGCUCUUGGAGUGUCGGCUCACUGCUUCUCUUAUUCUCAUGUAAAGGACUGAGAUGAUGAUUGUGGGCUCAGGGAUCCAGGUUCUAGGUUACUGCUAUUUUAGCUGGCCACCAGGCUUUCGAACCACAAGCCUCAAAAGUCCUGUUCACUGAUGAUCAGUGUUUGAAUGGAUUUAACAGACCAGCAUGUGUCUAUUUAGAAAGUCACACCUGGUAGAGAAAGAACUUCCUGGUAAGCCUGGCUUGCUCAUCCCUGCCACAGGUCAGAGCGUGCCCAAGGGCAUGUUGUCUUAUUCCAUUGUCAGCUGGAGUGACUUCCUUAUAUACCAAGGCUGCCCACACCCAGCUGCUGUUUCCUGCCCUGGGUCAGGAAGCGUAGCUCACUUCUCUCCUGAUCACCUGGCAUCUUCCAGUCAUCCACCAACAUUCUGGAUUCUUUUGCCUUUGUUCCUGAGCUACCUCACAACUUAGCUACUACCUUGCUUCUAGAUCCUGAAUUUACCUUUGAGCUUCUGGCUUCUGCUUGGGCUUCCUGGCUUCCAGGCCUGGUUAUUUGCACUCUGCUGGAUACUGGAAAUCUAAGCCCUGGAUUGCUGGUUUGGAACGGUAUCCUCUCCUCUGUCCAUCAGUGUUUUUGGGUUUCACUCCCUUCACCCUGGACCCCCACCAGUUCUGGCUCAUUAAAAACCUUAGAAUAAAAAUCACUUCGUAUUUCAACAUGCGUUUCUAAAACUGAGUUUGUUUUUUGAGUCUUUCUCAUAGAACUUAAACCUUGACAAAUUAAUUCAGAGUUUUGAAAAGGUGUGUAUAUUUUAUAUGGUACCAAAGUUUUAUAGAGAAACAGCUCUGUAGUAUAUUAAAAUGCAGCAUGAAAGUGAUCAGAAAUGUAUAUAUAUCUUUAGAUUUUGUGAGCAGAGAUGGUAGGUACUAAAAUCUUAUUGUUGUCGAGGUAACAACCCAUCUGGAUAAAUGCCCAUUUUCUCUGAUAUAUCUUUUUCUUUAGCUUUUUUUUUUCCCAGUAAUUUUUUUAUUGAAGUAUAAUACAUACACAGAAAAGUGAACAAAUUGUAAGUGUUCAGCACAAAGUGAGGACACCGUGUAACAAACACCCAGAUCAAGAAAAUAAACAAAAUCACCAGGCCCCUCGGAAAAUGCCCCGUGCUUCUUUCCAGUCACUAACAGCCCCUAUGAUGGGAGCCACUGUUCUGACUCCUAAGAUCACGGAUGGAUUUUGCCUGUUGUUCAGGUUAAAUAAAUGGAGGCACGCAGUGUUGUCUUUUGCAUCUGGCGUCUUUCACUCAGCGUUUUGCUUGUGAGAUUCAUCCGUGUUGUGCGCCAGCGUAGUUUUCUUUGCUCAUGCUGUAUAAUAUUCUGUUUUAUUAGCUGAUCACAAUUUAUUUAAUCUCCUGUUGAUGGAUGUUUGGGUUUGGGUUUGCAGAUUUUGGGUAUUUUGGGUAUUACAAAUAGCGUUGUUAUGAAUAUGCUUGUACGUGUCUUUUGGUGAGUGAGUAUGUUUAUUUAAAAAACAAAAAACUUUGAUUCCUACUCAUGACAACCCCAUGUGUUACAGAGUAGAACUGCUCCAUAGGGUUUUCUUGUCUGUCAUCUUUACAGAAGCUGAUUGCCAGGCCUUUCUUCUGUCAUGCACAGGGGUGGACUAACCGGUGAGCAAGCUAUACACAGACUUACUGUAAGCAAGGUGCACACGAAUUUACCUGUGUUUACUUAGUAGUCUGUAGUGUACAUUUAAUUCCACAUGGUUGUGUACUACAGGUGAAAUUGUACAAUACAGAUUAGUAAGUAAGCACAAGUUAGCCCUGACUACCUUGCUUAUUGGGUAAUCCGUCCCUGGUUAUGCCACUGAGUGGGAUUUAAACUGCCAGCUUUUUAGGUUAAUACCAAACCAUUGCUGUCAAGUCAAUUCCAACUCAUAGCGACCCUGUAGGACAGAGUACAGUUGCCCCAUAGGAUUUCCAAGGCUGUAAAUCUUUAUGAAAGCAGACCACUACAUCUUUCUCUUGCAGAGCAGCUGGUGGAUUCGAACCGCCAGCCUUCAGUUAGCAGCUGAGUGCUUAACUACUGUGCCACCAGGACUCCCUUUUUAGGUUAAUAAUCAAGCGCCAACCGUUUGCACCAGCCAGGGACCUGAAUGUAGGUAUGUCUCUGUGUAUAUAUGUUAUAUUCCUGUUAGGUAUGUACCUACGAGUAGGAUUGCUGGAUCGUAGUUAUUUACCAAAGCAGUUGUGCCAAUUACUGUAUUUUUACGUAAAUAAUAUGUGCUUCCAUGUUUGUUUGCCAGUUGUAUCCUCCCUCAAGGUAUUUUUGUAAGCAUGCUAUACUAAUUUUUUUUACAGCAACAUGUAAAAAAAAUCGGCGUAGUGGCGUUUAUGAAAAUACUUUGCGGAGGGAGGGUGCAGCUGGCAAACAAAUGUAGAAGGCGUGUGCUAUUUGUGUAAAAACACAGUAUACGCCCACCAGAAAAGUAUGAAAGUUUUGGUUGCACUGCUCUUUGCCAGUAUUUGAUAUUCUCUUUCCUUUUCAUUGUACUCAUUCUGGUGGGUGUGUAGUGGUAUUGCCCUGUGGUCUGAAUGUGUGUUUUCACGGUACUGGCCAUUGAGUAUUCUUUCUGUGAAGUGCAGGUAUCCCCCGCUUUCCAAAAGUUCGAGUUAUGCCACUCGCUUUUAUGAAAGAGCUACGUUAGUACCUAUUUUUGCUAACUGAAAGAAAUUCAAAGAGGAUUUUCACUUUUACGAAAAAAAGUGCAAAGCAGAAAUAGCGUUCAGCGUUUGUUUGCAGCAAGCCAUUAAAGAGGCAGCGCGCACCCUGAGCAGCGAAAGUGGCUUCGCCAAGCUCCUUGCCCAGGAACUACAGUCAGCAUCUCAGCGUCAGCUGCCGUAGCUCUGAGCUUUGUCUGUGAGCAUCUGCAUGUUACCGCGAUUCAUCUUGUGUCCUAAGGUUUCAGAAAACCCUGAGAACUCGUAAGGGGUUUAUGUGUUACUUGGUAUGAUUUGGUAGGUUUAGUUGGGGUCUGGGAGUGCUCAAAAAAUUUUCCGGUGUAAAUUUAUGGUAAUUGCUUCUUCACUUUAUGGCCGUUUCAGCUUAUAAAAGGUUUCAUAAGAAUGCCCUAUUUUCAAGUAGCGGAGGAGACCUAAACCUGUUCAGGUUUUUGCCCAUUUUUCUACUGUGCUGUCUUCCUCUUUCUUACUGGUUUGUAGAACUCUUUACAUAUUGUUAGAUAUAUGUAUUGCAGAUAUCUUCUCCUCAGUAAGCUUUGGUGUCCUUGUCUUUAGUGCUAUCUGCAAGGCUAACCCAGUGAGAGCAUCAAGAUCAUGUAUAGUACUUGUGCAGGAAUCUUUUAUUCUUUGUUCAAAAAAAAAAAACAAAAAACCCAAA
Long non-coding RNA from Loxodonta africana (African savanna elephant), 29831 nucleotides. RefSeq lists it as uncharacterized. The record is from RefSeq and is a predicted model, not a curated record. The transcript is spliced from 3 exons. Lineage: Eukaryota; Metazoa; Chordata; Mammalia; Proboscidea; Elephantidae.